GAGACAGAUAUGCAGACCUAAAACUUUGGGAGGCCUGGGCAUUAUCAAUCUCAGAGUUCCGAACAAGGUCUUGUUAAUGAAAUGGUGGUACAAACUUUAUGAUGAGAGCGAGCGGCCUUGGAGCUCAUUGAUACUGAAGGCCUACUGUUCUGAGUCAACACUGGGAGACUCCAACUCAUGAUGUACCAAAGCUUCUUCUCCUUUCUGGUGAAGUGUGCUAAAAGUGAAGGACACGGUCCAACAAUUUUCGACGCUAACUGUUGGAAAUGGACG
Molecule: long non-coding RNA, 273 nt
Filed under: Elaeis guineensis (African oil palm)
Lineage: Eukaryota; Viridiplantae; Streptophyta; Magnoliopsida; Arecales; Arecaceae
Description: long non-coding RNA (EGUI_LNC015348)
Source: RNAcentral